GAAUUUUCCGCAAUGGGCGAAAGCCUGACGGAGCGACGCCGCGUGGAGGAUGAAGGAUUUCGGUCUGUAAACUCCUGUCAGGGGGGACGAUGAUGACGGUACCCCCAAAGGAAGCAUCGGCUAACUACGUGCCAGCAGCCGCGGUAAGACGUAGGAUGCGAGCGUUGUUCGGAAUUAUUGGGCGUAAAGCGUGCGUAGGCGGCUUGUUAAGUCUGGUGUGAAAGCUAGGGGCUCAACCCCUGUGUUGCACUGGAAACUGGCAGGCUUGAGUGCGGUAGGGGAAGGUGGAAUUCCGAGUGUAGCGGUGAAAUGCGUAGAUAUUCGGAAGAACACCGGUGGCGAAGGCGACCUUCUGGGCCGCCACUGACGCUGAGGCACGAAAGCGUGGGGAGCAAACGG
RNAcentral lists this ribosomal RNA (399 nucleotides) under uncultured bacterium. RNAcentral describes it as "bacterial SSU rRNA". It matches the Rfam family "Bacterial small subunit ribosomal RNA", at positions 359 to 775 of the family's 1533-position model. The record is from RNAcentral.